CUGGAGGUAUCAGAAGUGAGAAUGCAGGAAUAAGUAGCGAGAAAGGGGGCGAGAAUCCCCCUCGCCGGAAGACCAAGGUUUUCAGGGUAAAGCUUGUCUUCCCUGAGUAAGCCGGGACCUAAGCCGAGGCUAAAAUGCGUAGGCGAAUGGAAAACAGAUUAAUAUUUCUGUGCCAGUUAUAUUUUGUGAUGGAGGGACGCAGAAGGGUAUGUGCGCGGGAGAACGGAAGUUCCCGUAAAAGCAUGUAGAGUGGUCUAGUAGGAAAAUCCGCUAGAUUAGACUUGAGGUGUGAUAUAUAGUCGUAAGAUGAAUGCACAAAUCCCACGCUGCCGAGAAAAGCUUCUAACGUUAAGGUAUAACUGCCCGUACCCGAAACCGACACAGGUGGUCAGGAUGAGAAAUCUAAGGCGGACAGGCUAACUCUCGUUAAGGAACUCUGCAAAAUUGCCCCGUAACUUUGGGAGAAGGGGUGCCCCUGGAUGUUAACAGCUACGCGCUGUAAAGCAUUUGGGGGUCGCAGUGAAGAGGCUCAAGCAACUGUUUAACAAAAACACAGGUCUAUGCUAAGCUGUAAGGCGAUGUAUAUGGGCUGACACCUGCCCAGUGCCGGAAGGUUAAGAGGAGGAGUGAGAGCUCCGAAUUGAAGCCCCGGU
Molecule: ribosomal RNA, 653 nt
Filed under: Salmonella enterica subsp. enterica serovar Saintpaul
Lineage: Bacteria; Pseudomonadati; Pseudomonadota; Gammaproteobacteria; Enterobacterales; Enterobacteriaceae
Description: partial 23S ribosomal RNA
Rfam family: Bacterial large subunit ribosomal RNA
Source: RNAcentral